RNAcentral lists this ribosomal RNA (203 nucleotides) under uncultured bacterium. RNAcentral's name for it is "partial 16S ribosomal RNA". It matches the Rfam family "Bacterial small subunit ribosomal RNA", at positions 328 to 538 of the family's 1533-position model. The record is from RNAcentral.
ACGCUCGACACCUACGGGAGACAGCAGUUGGGAAUAUUGGACAAUGGAGGAAACUCUGAUCCAGUGACGCCGCGUGAAGGAAGAAGGUCUUCGGAUUGUAAACUUAUUUUGUCAGGGAAGAAAAAUGACUGUACCUGAAGAAAAAGCACCGGCUAACUACGUGCCAGCAGCCGGACGGUAAUCUGAGGCGGGCUGGACAAGGC